ACCAUUGCUUUUACAAUAAAAUGACGAUACGAAACACGUUAUUCUCAAUCUCCUCGGAAAAAACCCUAUAUACAAUAUAUUUACAUUUUAUUUAAUUUUAUUUGUGAAAUGACUAAUAUAUAUAUUUUUUUUUAGAACAUAAAACUCGAAGCAAAUUUGGCGACGAUGUCAAAAAUCUCCUGAAUGCAGUUUUAAGCGACGAUAAUUUCUUCAGCUGUAAUCACAUUACACCUUAUGGAUAUCAAAUUGAUUUUGUAAUACACUUUGAUAAAAAUCGUGAGCCUAUUCCAGCUCCAGCAGAAACAACAAUAUUAGAUCGCAUAACAAAAUUUGCAAUACUGUUGCUGCGGUUAGAUUCUUUUUGUGAAAACGAUCUGACAGCAUUGCGUGGACCUGAACACCUUAAAACAAAACAUUUAGAGAUGAUGGGCUACAAAGUGAUUCAUAUUAACGAGCACGAUUGGAACACAAGAUACAUGAAUUCUCCUGAAAUCAAAACAAAAUAUCUUAAAUACCUCCUGCAGAUAUAAAUAAAAAGUUAUAUAGUGUGUAUAUAUCUAAUAAAAUUAGUUAAUUAUUCUUAAUAUUUGUAAAAUAAAUUCUUAUUUGAUUUUAACAAUUUACCAUAAAUUAAAAUGU
This is a long non-coding RNA of Bactrocera dorsalis (oriental fruit fly), 639 nucleotides long. RefSeq lists it as uncharacterized. The record is from RefSeq and is a predicted model, not a curated record. The transcript is spliced from 3 exons. NCBI's taxonomy places the organism in Eukaryota, Metazoa, Arthropoda, Insecta, Diptera, Tephritidae.